Molecule: ribosomal RNA, 1169 nt
Filed under: metagenome
Description: bacterial LSU rRNA
Rfam family: Bacterial large subunit ribosomal RNA
Source: RNAcentral
AAAACGGGUAAAAACCCCGUUCGCCGGAAGACCAAGGGUUCCUGUCCAACGUUAAUCGGGGCAGGGUGAGUCGGCCCCUAAGGCGAGGCUGAAAAGCGUAGUCGAUGGGAAACGGGUUAAUAUUCCCGUACUUGGAUAAACUGCGAUGUGGGGACGGAGCAGGUUAGGUUAUCGCACUGUUGGAUAUGUGCGUUUAAGUUGGUAGGUGUGAAGUUUAGGCAAAUCCGGACUUCUUUAACACCGAGAGAUGAUGACGAGGCUCUACGGAGCUGAAGUAACCGAUACCACACUUCCAGGAAAAGCCACUAAGCUUCAGGUUUAUCUAAACCGUACUGAAAACCGACACAGGUGGUCAGGUAGAGAAUACUCAGGCGCUUGAGAGAACUCGGGUGAAGGAACUAGGCAAAAUAGCACCGUAACUUCGGGAGAAGGUGCGCCGGCGUAGAUUGUAGUCCCUAGCGGGCGAAGGUUGAACCGGUCGAAGAUACCAGCUGGCUGCAACUGUUUAUUAAAAACACAGCACUCUGCAAACACGAAAGUGGACGUAUAGGGUGUGAUGCCUGCCCGGUGCUGGAAGGUUAAUUGAUGGUGUAAUCGAAAGAGAAGCUCCUGAUCGAAGCCCCAGUAAACGGCGGCCGUAACUAUAACGGUCCUAAGGUAGCGAAAUUCCUUGUCGGGUAAGUUCCGACCUGCACGAAUGGCAUAAUGAUGGCCAGGCUGUCUCCACCCGAGACUCAGUGAAAUUGAAAUCGCCGUGAAGAUGCGGUGUACCCGCGGCUAGACGGAAAGACCCCGUGAACCUUUACUAUAGCUUGACACUGAACAUUGAAUUUUGAUGUGUAGGAUAGGUGGGAGACUUUGAAGAUGAUACGCCAGUAUUGUUGGAGUCGUCCUUGAAAUACCACCCUUUAACGUUUGAUGUUCUAACGAAGAUUACGAAACGUGGUCUCGGACAGUGUCUGGUGGGUAGUUUGACUGGGGCGGUCUCCUCCCAAAGAGUAACGGAGGAGCACGAAGGUUUGCUAAUGACGGUCGGACAUCGUCAGGUUAGUGCAAUGGUAUAAGCAAGCUUAACUGCGAGACAGACAAGUCGAGCAGGUACGAAAGUAGGUCAUAGUGAUCCGGUGGUUCUGAAUGGAAGGGCCAUCGCUCAACGGAUAAAAGGUACU